GCUGUGGAUAGGGGUGAAAGGCUAAACAAAAUCCGGAAAUAGCUGGUUCUCCCCGAAAAACUAUUUAGGUAGUGCGUCGUACGGACACUUGCGGGGGUAGAGCACUGUAAUCGUUGGGGGGGUCAUUGCGAUCUACCCCGCGAUAGCAAACUCCGAAUACCGCAAAAGUGAUAUACGGCAGACAGACAUCGGGUGCUAACGUCCGGUGUCAAGAGGGAAACAACCCAGACCGCCAGCUAAGGUCCCAAAUGCAUGGCUAAGUGGCAAACGAGGUGGGAAGGCAUAGACAGCUAGGAGGUUGGCUUAGAAGCAGCCAUCCUUUAAAGAAAGCGUAAUAGCUCACUAGUCGAGUCGUCCUGCGCGGAAGAUGUAACGGGGCUCAAGCCAUGAACCGAAGCUGCGGAUGUGUCUUUGACACGUGGUAGGGGAGCGUUCCGUAAGCCUGCGAAGGUGUCUCGUAAGGGAGUGCUGGAGGUAUCGGAAGUGCGAAUGC
Molecule: ribosomal RNA, 493 nt
Filed under: uncultured bacterium
Lineage: Bacteria
Description: bacterial LSU rRNA
Rfam family: Bacterial large subunit ribosomal RNA
Source: RNAcentral